UACGUAGGGUGCAAGCGUUGUCCGGAAUUAUUGGGCGUAAAGAGCUCGUAGGCGGUUCGUCGCGUCGGCUGUGAAAACCUGAGGCUCAACCUCAGGCCUGCAGUCGAUACGGGCGGACUUGAGUACUGCAGGGGAGACUGGAAUUCCUGGUGUAGCGGUGAAAUGCGCAGAUAUCAGGAGGAACACCGGUGGCGAAGGCGGGUCUCUGGGCGAGUGAACUGACGCUGAGGAGCGAAAGCGUGGGGAGCGAACAGG
This 255-nucleotide ribosomal RNA is filed under the name uncultured bacterium. RNAcentral describes it as "partial 16S ribosomal RNA". It matches the Rfam family "Bacterial small subunit ribosomal RNA", at positions 524 to 776 of the family's 1533-position model. The record is from RNAcentral.